ACAAAUUCAGGUUUGCCAAACAAUGAUAAGAUAUCUUGAUCAUUAUAGGUGACGAUUUCAGACUUGCAGAUCUCUGCAGAUUACAACAUCCUCCAUCACUCGGCAGGAGUGCAGGGCAUUAUAUAGUUUACACGUAAUUUACAGUACAAACACUCGUGUACAUAUUAGCUGACAAGUCUGCAAAUCUUGCAUUUCUUGCUCAUCCAGAACAAUGCCAUGACAAACAUUUUUUGAGUGAGUGCCGCACCAUCACUCACUUUGACAAGCAUCCUCCUCUAGUAAAGCUUCCGUCUUUCUCCGUAUCUUCACAGGCAACCCACCCUUCAUCCUCAGUGUUACCGAGA
Molecule: long non-coding RNA, 344 nt
Filed under: Oryza brachyantha (malo sina)
Lineage: Eukaryota; Viridiplantae; Streptophyta; Magnoliopsida; Poales; Poaceae
Description: long non-coding RNA (OBRA_LNC003564)
Source: RNAcentral